GGGUUGAGGACAGUGCCUGGUGGGUAGUUUGACUGGGGCGGUCUCCUCCCAAAGAGUAACGGAGGAGCACGAAGGUGGGCUAAUCACGGUUGGACAUCGUGAGGUUAGUGCAAUGGCAUAAGCCCGCUUAACUGCGAGAAUGACGGUUCGAGCAGGUGCGAAAGCAGGUCAUAGUGAUCCGGUGGUUCUGUAUGGAAGGGCCAUCGCUCAACGGAUAAAAGGUACUCCGGGGAUAACAGGCUGAUACCGCCCAAGAGUUCAUAUCGACGGCGGUGUUUGGCACCUCGAUGUCGGCUCAUCACAUCCUGGGGCUGAAGUCGGUCCCAAGGGUAUGGCUGUUCGCCAUUUAAAGUGGUACGCGAGCUGGGUUUAGAACGUCGUGAGACAGUUCGGUCCCUAUCUGCCGUGGGCGUUGGAAGAUUGAAGGGGGCUGCUCCUAGUACGAGAGGACCGGAGUGGACGAACCUCUGGUGUUCGGGUUGUGUCGCCAGACGCAUUGCCCGGUAGCUAAGUUCGGAAUUGAUAAGCGCUGAAAGCAUCUAAGCGCGAAGCGAGCCCUGAGAUGAGUCUUCCCUGAUACUUUAAGUAUCCUAAAGGGUUGUUCGAGACUAGAACGUUGAUAGGCAGGGUGUGUAAGCGUUGUGAGGCGUUGAGCUAACCUGUACUAAUUGCCCGUGAGGCUUAACCAU
This 689-nucleotide ribosomal RNA is filed under the name Vibrio cholerae. Its description in RNAcentral is "partial 23S ribosomal RNA". It matches the Rfam family "Bacterial large subunit ribosomal RNA", at positions 2242 to 2925 of the family's 2925-position model. The record is from RNAcentral. Lineage: Bacteria; Pseudomonadati; Pseudomonadota; Gammaproteobacteria; Vibrionales; Vibrionaceae.